UACGUAGGGGGCGAGCGUUAUCCGGAUUUACUGGGCGUAAAGCGGGUGUAGGUGGCCUGUCAAGUCAGAUGUGAAAUCUCCCGGCUCAACUGGGAGGGUGCAUUUGAUACUGAUGGGCUAGAGUGCAGCAGAGGGCGAUGGAAUUCCCGGUGUAGUGGUGAAAUGCGUAGAUAUCGGGAAGAACACUAGUGGCGAAGGCGGUCACCUGGGCUGUAACUGACACUGAGACCCGAAGGCGUGGGGAGCAAACAGG
This 253-nucleotide ribosomal RNA is filed under the name uncultured bacterium. Its description in RNAcentral is "partial 16S ribosomal RNA". It matches the Rfam family "Bacterial small subunit ribosomal RNA", at positions 524 to 776 of the family's 1533-position model. The record is from RNAcentral.